CGGGAAUGCUGCUGAGAGGUGGGAGUGCUCGAAAGAGAACCGGCGCACAGGUGCUGCAUGGCUGUCGUCAGCACGUGUCGUGAGAUGUUGGGUUAAGUCCCGCAACGAGCGCAACCCUUGUCCUUAGUUGCUACGCAAGAGCACUCUAAGGAGACUGCCGGUGACAAACCGGAGGAAGGUGGGGAUGACGUCAAGUCCUCAUGGCCCUUAUGGGUAGGGCUUCACACGUCAUACAAUGGUCGGAACAGAGGGUUGCCAACCCGCGAGGGGGAGCUAAUCCCAGAAAACCGAUCGUAGUCCGGAUUGCACUCUGCAACUCGAGUGCAUGAAGCUGGAAUCGCUAGUAAUCGCGGAUCAGCAUGCCGCGGUGAAUACGUUCCCGGGUCUUGUACACACCG
RNAcentral lists this ribosomal RNA (398 nucleotides) under Burkholderia sp. MP6. RNAcentral describes it as "bacterial SSU rRNA". It matches the Rfam family "Bacterial small subunit ribosomal RNA", at positions 991 to 1392 of the family's 1533-position model. The record is from RNAcentral. Lineage: Bacteria; Pseudomonadati; Pseudomonadota; Betaproteobacteria; Burkholderiales; Burkholderiaceae.